GAUGAACGCUGGCGGCGUGCCUAACUCAUGCAAGUCGAACGGAGUUAUAUGAAGUUUUCGGACGGAUUAUAACUUAGUGGCGGACGGGUGAGUAACGCGUGGGUAACCUGCCUCAUACAGGGGGAUAACAGUUGGAAACGGCUGCUAAAACCGCAUAACAUUGCGACGUCGCAUGACGAUGCAAUUAAAUAUUUAUAGGUAUGAGAUGGGCCCGCGUCUGAUUAGCUAGUUGGUGGGGUAAUGGCCUACCAAGGCGACGAUCAGUAGCCGGCUUGAGAGAGUGACCGGCCACAUUGGGACUGAGACACGGCCCAAACUCCUACGGGAAGCAGCAGUGGGGAAUAUUGCACAAUGGGGGAAACCCUGAUGCAGCGACGCCGCGUGAGUGAAGAAGUAUUUCGGUAUGUAAAGCUCUAUCAGCAGGGAAGAUUAUGACGGUACCUGACUAAGAAGCCCCGGCUAACUACGUGCCAGCCGCCGCGGUAA
Molecule: ribosomal RNA, 486 nt
Filed under: uncultured bacterium
Lineage: Bacteria
Description: partial 16S ribosomal RNA
Rfam family: Bacterial small subunit ribosomal RNA
Source: RNAcentral